This 460-nucleotide ribosomal RNA is filed under the name uncultured bacterium. Its description in RNAcentral is "partial 16S ribosomal RNA". It matches the Rfam family "Bacterial small subunit ribosomal RNA", at positions 338 to 795 of the family's 1533-position model. The record is from RNAcentral.
CCUACGGGUGGCAGCAGUGAGGAAUAUUGGUCAAUGGGCGUAAGCCUGAACCAGCCAAGUAGCGUGAGGGAUGAAGGUUCUAUGGAUCGUAAACCUCUUUUAUAAGGGAAUAAAGUGUGGGACGUGUCCUGUUUUGUAUGUACCUUAUGAAUAAGGAUCGGCUAACUCCGUGCCAGCAGCCGCGGUAAUACGGAGGAUCCGAGCGUUAUCCGGAUUUAUUGGGUUUAAAGGGUGCGUAGGCGGCCUUUUAAGUCAGCGGUGAAAGUCUGUGGCUCAACCAUAGAAUUGCCGUGUAAACUGGGAGGCUUGAGUAUGUUUGAGGCAGGCGGAAUUCGUGGUGUAGCGGUGAAAUGCUUAGAUAUCACGCAGAACCCCGAUUGCGAAGGCAGCCUGCCAAGCCAUGACUGACGCUGAUGCACGAAAGCGUGGGGAUCAAACAGGAUUAGAUACCCUGGUAGUC